ACCUGGUUGAUCCUGCCAGUAGCAUAUGCUUGUCUCAAAGAUUAAGCCAUGCAUGUCUAAGUACAUGCCGUAUUAAGGCGAAACCGCGAAUGGCUCAUUAAAUCAGUUAUGGUUCCUUGGAUCGUACCUGACGCGUUACUUGGAUAACUGUGGCAAUUCUAGAGCUAAUACAUGCAGCCGAGCUCCGACCCUCCGGGGGACGAGCGCUUUUAUUAGAUUGUGACCGGCCCCUCCUCUCGGGGUGGGGAUCGGAAACGUGAACCGAAGCUGAGUAACUUUGGCAGAUCGCACGGGCCCGUCCCGGCGACGCAUCUUUCAAGUGUCUGCCCUAUCAACUGUCGACGGUAGGUCAUGCGCCUACCGUGGUCGCCACGGGUGACGGGGAAUCAGGGUUCGAUUCCGGAGAGGGAGCCUGAGAGACGGCUACCACAUCUAAGGAAGGCAGCAGGCACGCAAAUUACCCACUCCCGGCUCGGGGAGGUAGUGACGAAAAAUAACGAUACGGGACUCAUCGAGACCCGUGAUCGGAAUGAGUACGCUCUAAACCCCCUAACGAGGACCUACCGGAGGGCAAGACUAAUGCCAGCCGCUGCGGUAAUUUUAGCUCCGGUAGCGUAUACUAAAAUUGUUGCAGUUAAAAAGCUCGUAGUCGGACCUCUGCUCCGGACGCCGGGGGCCGCUCGCGCGGUCUCCCGCUGCGCUUCCGGGCAUUCUGCCCGCCACCUCGCGGGGUGAUUUUAAAAGGUCGUCCCCGGGUGGAAGGCGGUGAUCGCUUUGCAAAAAUUAGAGUGCUCAGAGCAGGCCCUGCCGCCUGGAUAGUAAUGCACGGAACGAUGGAAGACGCCCUCGGUCCCGGGUUUCCGUGGGAACAGGUCGACGGAGACCGAGGGAAUGAUCGAUAGGAGCAGACGGGGGCAUCCGUAUUCCGACGCUAGAGGUGAAAUUCUUGGACCGUCGGAAGACGACCCACUGCGAAGGCAUUUGCCAAGAAUGCUUCCAUUGACCAAGAACGAAAGUCAGAGGCUCAAAGAAGAUUAGAUACCUUUGUAGUUCUGACCGUAAACGAUACCCUCCAGCGAUCCGGCUGCGUACGAACGUGACGCGCCGGGCAGCUUGCCCGGGAAACCUGAGUUCAGGCUCCGGGGGAAGUAUGGUUGCAAAGCUGGAACUUAAAGGAAUUGACGGAGGGGCACUACCAGGAGUGGAGCCUACGGCUUAAUUUGACUCAACACGGGACAACUCACCCGGUCCGGACAUGUGCUCGAUGGACAGAUUGACAGCUCUUUCUAGAUUCCGUGGAUGGUGGUGCAUGGCCGCAGUUGGUUCGUGGGGUGACCUGUCUGGUUAAUUCCGAUAAACGAACGAGAUUCUCGCCUAUUAAAUAGGUGCCCUUCAUCCUAUCGCGAUGGAGGGGAACUUCUUAGAGGGACCGGCGGCUUCGAAGCCGUACGAGAGAGAGCGAUUGCAGGUCUGUGAUGCCCUUAGAUGUCCGGGGCCGCACGUGCGCUACAGUAGAGGGGACAACGUGCGAAGGUGCCUCGGCCGUCGGGCCUGGGUAACCCGAGCAGUCUCUCUCAGUGCUGGGGACAGGGGAUUGUAAUUAUUCCCCUCGAACGAGGAAUUCCCAGUAGGCGCGAGUCACUAACUCGUGCCGACUAAGUCACUGCCCUUUGUACACACCGCCCGUCGCUAUCUCCGAUUGAGCGGUGGAGUGAGGUCUUCGGACCAGCGCUCGGGCGACCUCUCCGGGGUCGAGUCGACGUGCCGGGAAGAUGACCGAACUUGGCCGCUUAGAGGAGGUAAAAGUCGUAACAAGGUUUCCGUAGGUGAACCUGUGGAAGGAUCAUU
This is a non-coding RNA of Trichonephila clavata, 1848 nucleotides long. The record is from the annotation of a GenBank genome assembly. Lineage: Eukaryota; Metazoa; Arthropoda; Arachnida; Araneae; Nephilidae.